AUGAUUAUAGGUGAUGGAGUUCGCCAUUAACUGCCGUAAAGGCUGAUAACUCCUACUAAAAA
This 62-nucleotide non-coding RNA is filed under the name Candidatus Schekmaniibacteriota. Its description in RNAcentral is "Candidatus Schekmanbacteria Fluoride sequence". It matches the Rfam family "Fluoride riboswitch aptamer (crcB RNA motif)". The record is from RNAcentral.